Non-coding RNA from Anolis sagrei ordinatus, 494 nucleotides. Lineage: Eukaryota; Metazoa; Chordata; Lepidosauria; Squamata; Anolidae. The record is from RefSeq and is a predicted model, not a curated record.
CUUCUUUUUUCCCCCUCCUCAGUCUGAAGAUUCGGAGGAAAACCCUGUUCUGGACCCAUGGUCAUCUGAAGGGGCUUUUGUGGUGAAUGGAGCUGAGGAAAGAUCUCCCUUUGGACCAGGAGGCCAAGGAAGAGGCAGAGGAAGAGGCAAGGGAAAAGGCAGGGGGAAAGGCAAAGGCAAAGGUAAAGGAAAAGGAAAAGGAAAAGACAACGACAAAGAAGAUGGAAAAGGAGAGCCGAAAGAACCAGAAGAGGAACUUGAGGAGGAUCAGGAAGAUAUAUUUGAACCGUAAGCAAUAAGGAUCACAUCAUUGCAUUCACCUGGCGUCUCUGUGAUCAAGACCUGGCAACUAGAUUAGAUACCUUGUUCAAAUGAUACAUUCAUGAAAUAAGUAAGCUUUAAUAGUUAUUGUGGGCAGUGCUGAUAUUUGAUUCCAUUUGCUUCUCUUGUAGAACAUAUCAUGAUAUAGGAAUGCUUGAUGACAAUAAAAAAUU